This 399-nucleotide ribosomal RNA is filed under the name uncultured bacterium. RNAcentral describes it as "bacterial SSU rRNA". It matches the Rfam family "Bacterial small subunit ribosomal RNA", at positions 355 to 771 of the family's 1533-position model. The record is from RNAcentral.
UGGGGAAUAUUGGACAAUGGGCGCAAGCCUGAUCCAGCCAUGCCGCGUGGAUGAUGAAGGCCUUAGGGUUGUAAAGUCCUUUUAACGGGGAAGAUAAUGACGGUACCCGUAGAAUAAGCCCCGGCUAACUUCGUGCCAGCAGCCGCGGUAAUACGAAGGGGGCUAGCGUUGCUCGGAAUCACUGGGCGUAAAGCGCACGUAGGCGGAUCUUUAAGUCAGGGGUGAAAUCCUGGAGCUCAACUCCAGAACUGCCUUUGAUACUGAGGGUCUCGAGUCCGGGAGAGGUGAGUGGAACUGCGAGUGUAGAGGUGAAAUUCGUAGAUAUUCGCAAGAACACCAGUGGCGAAGGCGGCUCACUGGCCCGGUACUGACGCUGAGGUGCGAAAGCGUGGGGAGCAA